Molecule: long non-coding RNA, 27036 nt
Filed under: Panax ginseng (ginseng)
Lineage: Eukaryota; Viridiplantae; Streptophyta; Magnoliopsida; Apiales; Araliaceae
Description: long non-coding RNA (PGIN_LNC017428)
Source: RNAcentral
AUCGCCUAGUUUGUAAAACUCGCCAACACUUAAGCAAAAAGUCGAAAAAGGGGUAAAAACUCGCAUCAGUAGUCCGAAUGACACGCAAACACACUAAUAGCACCGCGUAGGUAAUAGACACGCGUUAGAACUUAUGGGACUCGAUUCCGACAUACGGAGACCGAGUUAUCGCGGAGUUUGCAAAACUCGCCAACACUUAGGCAAAAAGCCGAAAAAGAGGUCAAAACCCGCAUCUGCCGUCCGAAUGACACGAAUACACAGAUAUAGCACCGUGCAGGUAAUAGACACGCGUUAGAACCUACGGGACUCGAUUCUGACAUACGGAGACCGAGUUAUUGCACAGUUUGCAAAACUCGCCAACACUUAGGCAAAAAGCCGAAAAAGAGGUCAAAACUCGCAUCGGCCAUCCGAAUGAUAUGCAAACACACACAUAGAACCGCGUAGGUAAUAGACACGCAUUAGAACUUACGGGACUCGAUUCCGACAUACGGAGACCGAGUUAUCAUCUAAUUUGCAAAACACGCCAACACUUAGGCAAAAAGAGGAAAAAGAGGUCAAAAACCCGCAUCGGCUGUUCGAAUGACACGCAAACACACACAUAACACUGCGUAGGUAAUAGUCAUGCAUUAGAACUUACGGGACUCCAAUCUGACAUACGAAAACUGAGUUAUCGUCCAGUUUGCAAAACUCGCCAACACUUAGGCAAAAAGAGAAAAAACAGGUCAAAACCCGCAUCGGCCAUCUGAAUGAUACGCAACCACACACAUAGCACCGCGUAGGUAAUAGACACGCGUUAGAACUUACGGGACUCGAUUCCGACAUACGGAGACUGAGUUAUCGCCCAGUUUGCAAAACUCGUCAACGCUUAGGCAAAAAGUCGAAAAAGGGGUCAAAACUCGCAUCGGUCGUCCGAAUGACACGCCAACACACUAAUAGUACCGCGUAGGUAAUAGUCAUGCAUUAGAACUUACGGUACUCUAUUUCGAGUCGUCCGAAUGACACGCCAACACACUAAUAGUACCGCGUAGGUAAUAGACACGCGUUAGAACUUACGGGACUCGAUUCCGACAUAAGGAGACCGAGUUAUGACCCAGUUUGCAAAACUCGCCAACAUUUAGGCAAAAAGCCAAAAAAGACGUCAAAACCCGCAUCGGCCGUCCGAAUGACACGCAAACACACACAUAGAACCGCGUAGGUAAUUGACACGCAUUAGAACUUACGGUACUCGAUUUCGACAUAUGGAGACCGAUUUAUCGCCCAGUUUGCAAAACUCACCAACACUUAAGCAAAAAGACGAAAAAGAGGUCAAAACCCGCAUCGGCCGUCUGAAUGACACGCAAACACACACAUAACACCGCGUAGGUAAUAGUCAUGCAUUAGAACUUACGGGACUCGAUUCCGACAUACGGAGACCGAGUUAUCGCCUAAUUUGCAAAACACGCCAACACUUAGGCAAAAAGACGAAAAACAGGUCAAAACCCGCAUCGGCCGUCCGAAUGACACGCAAACACACACAUAGUACCGCGUAGAUAAUUGACACGCAUUAGAACUUGCGGUACUCGAUUUCGACAUAUGAAGACCGAGUUAUCACCCAGUUUGCAAAACUCGCCAACACUUAGGCAAAAAGACGAAAAAGAGGUCAAAACCAGCAUCGGCCGUCCGAAUGACACACAAACACACACAUAGCACCGCGUAGGUAAUAGACACGCGUUAGAACUUACGGGACUCGAUUCCGACAUACGGAGACCGAGUUAUCGCCCAGUUUGCAAAACUCGCCAACACUUAGGCAAAAAGCCGAAAAAGAGGUCAAAACCCGCACCGGCCGUCCGAAUGACACGCAAACACACACAUAGCACCGCGUAGGUAAUAGACACGCGUUAGAACUUACGGGACUCGAUUCCGACAUACGGAGACCGAGUUAUCGCCCAGUUUGCAAAACUCGCCAACACUUAGGCAAAAAGCCGAAAAUGAGGUCAAAACCCGCACCGGCAGUCCGAAUGACACGCAAACACACACAUAGCACCGCGUAGGUAAUAGACACGCGUUAGAACUUACGGGACUCGAGUCUGACAUACGGAGACCGAGUUAUCGCCCAGUUUACAAAACUCGCCAACACUUGGGCAAAAAGCCAAAAAAGAGGUCAAAACCCUGAUCGACCGUCCGAAUGACAUGCAAACACACACAUAGAACCGCGUAGGUAAUUGACACGCAUUAGAACUUACGGGACUCGAUUCCGACAUACGGAGACCGAGUUAUCGCGGAUUUUGCAAAACUCGCCAACACUUAGGCAAAAAGCCUAAAAAGGGGUCAAAACUCGCAUCGGUCGUCCGAAUGACACGCCAACACACUAAUAGCACCGCGUAGGUAAUAUACACGCAUUAGAACUUACGGGACUCGAUUCCGACAUACGGAGACCGAGUUAUCGCGGAGUUUGCAAAACUCGCCAACACUUAGGCAAAAUGCCAAAAAAGAGGUCAAAACCCGCAUCUGCCGUCCGAAUGACACGCAAACACAUUAAUAGCACCGCGUAGGUAAUAGACACACGUUAGAACUUACGGGACUCGAUUCCGACAUACAAAGACCGAGUUAUCGCGGAGUUUGUAAAACUCGCCAACACUUGGGCAAAAAGCCGAAAAAGAGGUCAAAACCCGCAUCUGCCGUCGAAUGACACGAAUACACACAUAUAGCACCGUGCAGGUAAUAGACACGCGUUAGAACUUACGGGACUCGAUUCUGACAUACGGAGACCGAGUUAUUGCCCAGUUUGCAAAACUCGCCAACACUUAGGCAAAUAGCCGAAAAAGAGGUCAAAACUCGCAUCGGCAGUCCGAAUGACAUACAAACACACACAUAGAACUGCGUAGGUAAUAGACACACAUUAGAACUUACGGGACUCGAUUCCGACAUACGGAGACCGAGUUAUCGCCUAGUUUGUAAAACUCGCCAACACUUAGGCAAAAAGACGAAAAAUAGGUCAAAACCCGCAUCGGUCGUCUGAAUGACACGCAAACACACACAUAACACCGCGUAGGUAAUAGUAAUGCAUUAGAACUUACGAGACUCGAUUCCAACAUACAGAGACUGAUUUAUCGCCCAGUUUGUAAAAGUUGCCAACACUUAGGCAAAAAGACGAAAAAUAGGUCAAAACCCGCAUCGGUCGUCCAAAUAACACGCAAACACACACAUAGCACCGCGUAGGUAAUUGACACGCGUAAGAACUUACGGGAUUCGAUUCCGACAUACGGAGACUGAGUUAUCGCCCAGUUUGCAAAACUCGCCAACAAUUAGGCAAAAAGACGAAAACAGGUCAAAACCCGCAUUGGCCGUCCGAAUGACACGCAAACACACACAUAGCACCGCAUAGGUAAUUGACACGCAUUAGAACUAAUGGGACUCGAUUCCGACAUACAUAGACCGAGUUAUCGCCAGUUUGCAAAACUCGCCAAGACUUAGGCAAAAAGCCAAAAAAGAGGUCAAAACCCGCAUCGGCCGUCCGAAUGACACGCAAACACACACAUAGCACCGCGUAGGUAAUAGACACGCGUUAGAACUUACGGGACUCGAUUCCGACAUACGGAGACCGAGUUAUCGCCCAGUUUGCAAAACUCGCCAACACUUAGGCAAAAAGUCGAAAAAGGGGUCAAAACUCGCAUCGGUAGUCCGAAUGACACGCAAACACACAAAUAGCACCGCGUAGGUAAUAGACACGCGUUAGAACUUACGGGACUCGAUUCCGACAUACGGAGACUGAGUUAUCGCCCAGUUUGCAAAACUCGCCAACACUUAGGCAAAAAGUCGAAAAAGGGGUCAAAACUCGCAUCGGUAGUCCGAAUGACACGCAAACACACUAAUAGCACCGCGUAGGUAAUAGACACGCGUUAGAACUUACGGGACUCGAUUCCGACAUACGGAGACCGAGUUAUCGCGCAGUUUGCAAAACUCGCCAACACUUAGGCAAAAAGCCGAAAAAGAGGUCAAAACCCACAUCUGCCGUCCGAAUGACACGCAACCACACAUAUAGCACCGUGUAGGUAAUAGACACGCCUUAGAACUUACGGGACUCGAUUCUGACGUACGGAGACCGAGUUAUUGCCCAGUUUGCAAAACUCGCCAACACUUAGGCAAAAAGUUGAAAAAGGGGUCAAAACUCGCAUCGGUCGUCCGAAUGACACGCCAACACACUAAUAGCACCGCGUAGGUAAUAGACACGUGUUAGAUCUUAUGGGACUCGAUUUUGACAUAUGGAGACCGAGUUAUCGCCCAAUUUGCAAAACUCGCCAACAAUUAGGCAAAAAGCUGAAAAAGAGGUCAAAAACCCGCAUCGGCCGUUCGAAUGACACGCAAACACACACAUAACACCGCGUAGGUAAUAGACAUGCAUUAGAACUUAUGGGACUAGAUUCCGACAUACGGAGACUGAGUUAUCGCCCAGUUUGCAAAACUCGCCAACACUUAGGCAAAAAGUCAAAAAAGGGGUAAAAACUCGAAUCAGUAGUCCGAAUGACACACAAACACACUAAUAGCACCGCGUAGGUAAUAGACACGCGUUAGAACUUACGGGACUCGAUUACGACAUACGGAGACCGAGUUAUCGCGGAGUUGGCAAAACUCGCCAACACUUAGGCAAAAAGCCGAAAAAGAUGUCAAAACCCGCAUCUGCCUUCCGAAUGACACGCAAACACAUAUAUAGCACCGUGUAGGUAAUAGACACGCGUUAGAACUUAUGGGACUCGAUUCUGACGUACGGAGACUGAGUUAUUGCCCAGUUUGCAAAACUCGCCAAGAUUUAGGCAAAAAGCCGAAAAAGAGGUCAAACUCGCAUCGGCCGUCCGAAUGACAUUCAAACACACACAUAGAACCGCGUGGGUAAUAGACAUGCAUUAGAACUUAUGGGACUCGAUUCCGACAUACGGAGACCGAGUUAUCGCCCAAUUUGCAAAAUUCGCCAACACUUAGGCAAAAAGCUGAAAAAGAGGUCAAAAACCGGCAUCGGCCAUUCGAAUGACACGCAAACAUGCACAUAACACAGCGUAGGUAAUAGACAUGCAUUAGAACUUACGGGACUCGAUUCCGACAUACGGAGACUGAGUUAUCGCCCAGUUUGCAAAACUCGCCAACACUUAGGCAAAAAGUCGAAAAAGGGGUCAAAACUCGCAUCGGUAGUUCGAAUGACACGCAAACACAUUAAUAGCACCGCGUAGGUAAUAGACACGCGUUAGAACUUACAGGACUCGAUUCCGACAUACGGAGACCGAGUUAUCGCGGAGUUUGCAAAACUCGCCAGCACUUGGGCAAAAAGCCGAAAAAGAGGUCAAAACCCGCAUCUGCCGUCCGAAUGACACGAAUACACACAUAUAGCACCGUGCAGGGAAUAGACACGCGUUAGAACUUACGGGACUCGAUUCUGACAUACGGAGUCCGAGUUAUUGCCCAGUUUGCAAAACUCGCCAACACUUAGACAAAAAGCCGAAAAAGAGGUCAAAACUCGCAUCGGCCGUCCGAAUGACAUGCAAACACACAUAGAACCGCGUAGGUAAUAGACACACAUUAGAACUUACGGGACUCGUUUCCGACAUACGGAGACCGAGUUAUCGUCUAAUUUGCAAAACACGCCAACACUUAGGCAAAAAGAGGAAAAAGAGGUCAAAAACCCGCAUCGGCCGUUUGAAUGACACGCAAACACACACAUAACACCGCGUAGGUAAUAGUCAUGCAUUAGAACUUACGGGACUCCAUUCUGACAUACGGAAACUGAGUUAUCGCCCAGUUUGCAAAACUCGCCAACACUUAGGCAAAAAGACAAAAAAUAGGUCAAAACCCGCAUCGGCCGUCUGAAUGACACGCAAACACACACAUGGCACCGCGUAGGUAAUAGACACGCGUUAGAACUUACGGGACUCGAUUCCGACAUACGGAGACUGAGUUAUCGCCUAGUUUGCAAAACUCGCCAACACUUAGGCAAAAAGCCAAAAAAGACGUCAAAACCCGCAUCGGCCGUCCGAAUGACACGCAAACACACACAUAGAACCGCGUAGCUAAUUGACACGCAUUAGAACUUACGGUACUCUAUUUCGACAUAUGGAGACCGAGUUAUCGCCCAGUUUGCAAAACUCGCCAACACUUAAGCAAAAAGACGAAAAAGAGGUCAAAACCCGCAUCGGCCGUCCGAAUGACACACAAACACACACAUAGCACCGCGUAGGUAAUAGACACGCGUUAGAACUUACGAGACUCGAUUCCGACAUACAAAGACUGAGUUAUCGCCCAGUUUGCAAAACUCGCCAACACUUAGGCAAAAAGUCAAAAAAGGGGUCAAAACUCGCAUCGUUCGUCCGAAUGACACGCAAACACACUAAUAGCAUCGCGUAGGUAAUAGAAACGCGUUAGAACUUACGGGACUCGAUUCCGACAUACGGAGACCGAGUUAUCGCGGAGUUUGCAAAACUCGCCAACACUUAGGCAAAAAGCUGAAAAAGAGGUCAAAAACCCGCAUCGGCCGUUCGAAUGACACGCAAACACACACAUAACACCGCGUAGGUAAUAGACAUGCAUUACAACUUACGAGACUCGAUUCCGACAUACGGAGACUGAGUUAUCGCCCAGUUUGCAAAACUCGCCAACACUUAGGCAAAAAGUCAAAAAAGGGGUCAAAACUAGCAUCGGUAGUCCGAAUGACACGCAAACACACUAAUAGCACCGCGUAGGUAAUUGACACGCGUUAGAACUUACAGGACUCGAUUCCGACAUACGGAGACCGAGUUAUCGCGGAGUUUGCAAAACUCGCCAACACUUGGGCAAAAAACCGAAAAAGAGGUCAAAACCCGCAUCUGCCGUCCGAAUGACACGAAUACACACAUAUAGCACCGUGCAGGUAAUAGACAUGCGUUAGAACUUACGGGACUCGAUUCUGACAUACGGAGACCGAAUUAUUGCCCAGUUUACAAAACUCGCCAACACUUAGGCAAGAAGCCGAAAAAGAGGUCAAAACUCGCAUCGGCCGUCCGAAUGACAUACAAACACACACAUAGAACCGCGUAGGUAAUAGAUAUGCAUUAGAACUUACGGGACUCGAUUCCGACAUACGGAGACCGAGUUAUCGCCUAGUUUGUAAAACUCGCCAACACUUAGGCAAAAAGACGAAAAACAGGUCAAAACCCGCAUCGGUCGUCUAAAUGACACGCAAACACACGCAUAGCACUGCGUAGGUAAUUGACACGCGUAAGAACUUACGGGACUCGAUUCCGACAUACGGAGACUGAGUUAUCGCCCAGUUUGCAAAACUCGCCAAUAAUUAGGCAAAAAGACGAAAAACAGGUCAAAACCCGCAUCGGCCGUCCGAAUGACACGCAAACACACACAUAGCACCGCGUAGGUAAUUGACACGUAUUAGAACUAAUGGGACUCGAUUCCGACAUACAGAGACCGAGUUAUCGACAGUUUGCAAAACUCGCCAAGACUUAGGCAAAAAGCCAAAAAAGAGGUCAAAACCCGCAUCGGUCGUCCGAAAGACACGCAAACACACACAUAGAACCGCGUAGGUAAUUGACACGCAUUAGAACUUACGGUACUCGAUUUCGACAUAUGGAGACCGAGUUAACACCCAGUUUGCAAAACUCGCCAACACUUAGGCAAAAAGACGAAAAAGAGGUCAAAACCCGCAUCGGCCGUCCGAAUGACACACAAACAUACACAUAGCACCGCGUAGGUAAUAGACACGCGUUAGAACUUACGGGACUCGAUUCCGACAUACGAAGACUGAGUUAUCGCCCAGUUUGCAAAACUCGCCAACACUUAAGCAAAAAGUCGAAAAAGGGGUCAAAACUCGCAUCGGUCGUCCGAAUGACACGCAAACACACACAUAGCGUCGCGUAGGUAAUAGACAUGCGUUAGAACUUACGGGACUCAAUUCCGACAUACGGAGACCGAGUUAUCGCGGAGUUUGCAAAACUCGCCAACACUUAGGCAAAAAGCCAAAAAAGAUGUCAAAACCCAGAUCUGCCGUCCGAAUGACACGCCAACACACUAAUAGCACCGCGUAGGUAAUAGACACGCGUUAGAACUUAUGGGACUCGAUUUUGACAUAUGGGGACCGAGUUAUCGCCCAAUUUGCAAAACUCACCAACAAUUAGACAAAAAGCUGAAAAAGAGGUCAAAAACCCGCAUCGGCCGUUCGAAUGACACGCAACACACACAUAACACCGCGUAGGUAAUAGACAUGCAUUAGAACUUACGGGACUCGAUUCCAACAUACGGAGACUGAGUUAUCGCCCAGUUUGCAAAACUCGCCAACACUUAGGCAAAAAGUCGAAAAAGGGGUAAAAACUCGUAUCGGUAGUCCGAAUGACACGCAAACACACUAAUAGCACCGCGUAGGUAAUAGACACGCGUUAGAACUUACGGGACUCGAUUCCGACAUACGGAGACCGAGUUAUCGCGGAGUUUGCAAAACUCGCCAACACUUAGGCAAAAAGCCGAAAAAGAAGUCAAAACCCGCAUCUGCCGUCCGAAUGACAUGCAAACACACAUAUAGCACCGUGUAGGUAAUAGACACGUGUUAGAACUUACGGGACUCGAUUCUGACGUACGGAGACUGAGUUAUUGCCCAGUUUGCAAAACUCGCCAACACUUAGGCAAAAAGCCGAAAAGAGGUCAAAACUCGCAUCGGCCGUCCGAAUGACAUACAAACACACACAUAGAACUGCGUAGGUAAUAGACACGCAUUAGAACUUACGGGACUCGAUUCCGACAUACGGAGACUGAGUUAUUGCCCAGUUUUCAAAACUCGCCAACACUUAGGCAAAAAGUCAAAAAGGGGUAAAAACUCGCAUCGGUAGUCCGAAUGACACGCAAACACACUAAUAGCACUGCGUUAUUGCGGAGUUUGUAAAACUCAUCAACACUUGGGCAAAAAGCCGAAAAAGAGGUCAAAACCCGCAUCUGUCGUCCGAAUGACACGAAUACACACAUAUAGCACCGUGAAGGUAAUAGACACGCGUUAGAACUUACGGGACUCGAUUCUGACAUAUGGAGACCGAGUUAUUGCCCAGUUUGCAAAACUCGCCAACACUUAGGCAAAAAGUCGAAAAAGGGGUCAAAACUCGCAUCGGUCGUCCGAAUGACACGCCAACACACUAAUAGCACCGCGUAGGUAAUAGACACUCGUUCGAACUUACGGGACUCGAUUUUGACAUAUGGAGACCGAGUUAUCGCCCAAUUUGCAAAACUCGCCAAUAAUUAGGCAAAAAGCUGAUAAAGAGGUCAAAAACCCGCAUCGGUCGUUCGAAUGACACGCAAACACACAUAUAGCACCGUGUAGGUAAUAGACACGCGUUAGAACUUACGGGUCUCGAUUUUGACAUGCAGAGACCGAGUUAUUGCCCAGUUUGCAAAACUCGCCAACACUUAGGCAAAAAGCCGAAAAAGAGGUCAAAACUCGCAUCGGCCGUCCGAAUGAUAUGUAAACACAAACAUAGAACCGCGUGGGUAAUAGACACACAUUAGAACUUACGGGACUCGAUUCCGACAUACGGAGACCGAGUUAUCGCCCAAUUUGCAAAACUCGCCAACACUUAGGCAAAAAGCAGAAAAAGAGGUCAAAAACCCACAUCGGCCGUUCGAAUGACAUGCAAACCCACACAUAACACACCGUAGGUAAUAGACAUGCAUUAGAACUUACGGGACUCGAUUCCGACAUACGGAGACUGAGUUAUCGCCCAAUUUGCAAAACUCGCCAACACUUAGGCAAAAAGCUGAAAAAGAGGUCAAAACUCGCAUCGGCCGUCCGAAUGACAUGCAAACACACACAUAGAAUUGCGUAGCUAAUAGACACGAAUUAGAACUUACGGGACUCGAUUCUGACAUACGGAGACCGAGUUAUCGCCCAAUUUGCAAAACUCGCCAACACUUAGGCAAAAAGCUGAAAAAGAGGUUAAAAACCCGCAUCGGCCGUUCGAAUGACACGCAAACACACACAUAACACCGCGUAGGUAAUAGACAUGCAUUAGAACUUACGGGACUCGAUUCCGACAUACAGAGACUGAGUUAUCGCCCAGUUUGCAAAACUCGCCAACACUUAGGCAAAAAGUCAAAAAGGGGGUCAAAACUCGCAUCGGUAGUCCGAAUGACACACAAAAACACUAAUAGCACCGCGUAGGUAAUAGACACGUGUUAGAACUUACGGGACUCGAUUCUGACAUACGGAGACCGAGUUAUCGCGGAGUUUGCAAAACUCGCCAACACUUGGGCAAAAAGCCGAAAAAGAGGUCAAAACCCGCAUCUGCCGUCUGAAUGACACGAAUACACACAUAUAGCACCGUGCAGGUAAUAGACACGCGUUAGAACUUACAGGACUCAAUUCUGACAUACGGAGAUCGAGUAAUUGUUCAGUUUGCAAAACUCGCCAACACUUAGGCAAAAAGCCGAAAAAGAGGUCAAAACUCGCAUCGGUCGUCCGAAUGACAUGCAAACACAAACAUAGAACCGCGCAGGUAAUAGACACGCAUUAGAACUUAUGCGACUCGAUUCUGACAUACGGAGAUCGAGUUAUCGCUCAGUUUGCAAAACUCGCCAACACUUAGGCAAAAAGUCGAAAAAGGGGUCAAAACUCGUAUCGGUCGUCCGAAUGACACGCCAACACACUAAUAGCACCGCGUAGGUAAUAGACACGCGUUAGACCUUAUGGGAAUCGAUUUUGACAUAUGGAGACCGAGUUAUCGCCCAAUUUGCAAAACUCGCCAACACUUAGGCAAAAAGCCAAAAAAGAGGUCAAAACCCGCAUCGGCCGUCCGAAUGACACGCAAACACACACAUAGCACCGCGUAGAUAAUUGACACGCAUAAGAACUUAUGGGACUCGAUUCUGACAUAUGGAGACCGAGUUAUCGCCCAGUUUGCAAAACUCGCCAAGACUUAGGCAAAAAGCCGAAAAAGAGGUCAAAACCCGCAUCGGCCGUCCGAAUGACACACAAACACACACAUAACACCGCGUAGGUAAUAGACACGCAUUAAAACUUAUGGGACUCGAUUCCGACAUACGGAGACCGAGUUAUCGCCCAGUUUGAAAAACUCGCCAACACUUGGGCAGAAAGCCAAAAAAGAGGUCAAAACCCGGAUCGGCUGUCCGAAUGACAUGCAAACACACACAUAGAACCGCGUAGGUAAUUGACACGCAUUAGAACUUACGGUACUCAAUUUUGACAUAUGGAGACCGAGUUAUUACCCAGUUUGCAAAACUCGCCAACACUUAGGCAAAAACACGAAAAAGAGGUCCAAACCCGCAUCGGUCGUCCGAAUGACACACAAACACACACAUAGCACAGUGUAGGUAAUAGACACACGUUAGAACUUUCGGGACUCGAUUCAGACAUACGGAGACUGAGUUAUCGCCCAGUUUGAAAAACUCGCCAACACUUAGGCAAAAAGUCGAAAAAGGGGUCAAAACUCGCAUCGGUCGUCCGAAUGACAUGCAAACAAACUAAUAGCAUCGCGUAGGUAAUAGACACGCGUUAGAACUUACGGGACUCGAUUCCGACAUACGUAGACCGAGUUAUCGCGGAGUUUGCAAAACUCGCCAACACUUAGGCAAAAAGCCGAAAAAGAGGUCAAAACCCGCAUUUGCCGUCCGAAUGACACGCAAACACACAUAUAGCACCGUGUAGGUAAUAGACAUGCGUUAGAACUUAUGGGACUCGAUUCUGACAUACAGAGACUGAGUUAUUGCCCAGUUUGCAAAACCCGCCAACACUUAGGCAAAAAGCCGAAAAAGAGGUCAAAUCUCACAUCGGCCGUCCGAAUGACAUGCAAACACACACAUAGAACCGCGUGGGUAAUAGACACGCAUUAGAACUUACGGGACUCGAUUCCGACAUACGGAGACCGAGUUAUCGCCCAAUUUGUAAAACCCGCCAACACUUAGGCAAAAAGCUGAAAAAGAGGUCAAAAACCCGCAUCGGCCGUUCGAAUGACACGCAAACACACACAUAACACCGCGUAGGUAAUUGACAUGCAUUAGAACUUACGGGACUCAAUUCCGACAUACGGAGACUGAGUUAUUGCCCAGUUUGCAAAACUCGCCAACACUUAGGCAAAAAGUCAAAAAAUGGGUCAAAACUCGCAUCGGUAGUCCGAAUGACACGCAAACUAACUAAUAGCACCGCGUAGGUAAUAGACACGCGUUAGAACUUACGAGACUCGAUUCUGACAUACAGAGACCGAGUUAUCGCGGAGUUUGCAAAACUCGCCAACACUUGGGCAAAAAGCCGAAAAGAGGUCAAAACCCGCAUCUGCCAUCCGAAUGACACAAAUACACACAUAUAGCACCGUGCAGGUAAUAGACACGCGUUAGAACUUACGGGACUCGAUUCUGACAUAUGGAGACCCAGUUAUUGCCCAGUUUGCAAAACUCGCAAACACUUAAGCAAAAAGCCGAAAAAGAGGUCAAAACUCGCAUCGGCCCUCCGAAUGACAUGCAAACACACACAUAGAACUGCAUAGGUAAUAGACACGCAUUAGAACUUACGGGACUCGAUUCCGACAAACGGAGACCGAGUUAUCGCCUAAUUUGCAAAACACGCCAACACUUAGGCAAAAAGAGGAAAAAGAGGUCAAAAACCCGCAUCGGCCGUUCGAAUGACACGCAAACACACACAUAACACCGCGUAUGUAAUUGUCAUGCAUUAGAACUUACAGGACUCGAUUCCGACAUACGGAGACUGAUUUAUCGCGGAGUUUGUAAAACUCACCAACACUUGGGCAAAAAGCCGAAAAAUAGGUCAAAACCCGCAUCGGCCGUCCGAAUGACACGCAAACAUACAUAGCACCGCGUAGGUAAUUGACACGCGUAAGAACUUACGGUACUCGAUUCUGAUAUAUGGAGACUGAGUUAUCGCCCAGUUUGCAAAACUUGCCAACAAUUAGGCAAAAUGACGAAAAAUAGGUCAAAACCCGCAUAGGCCGUCUGAAUGACACGCAAACACACACAUAGAACCGCGUAGGUAAUUGACACACAUUAGAACUUACGGUACUCGAUUUCGACAUAUGGAGACCGAGUUAUCACCCAGUUUGCAAAACUCACCAAUACUUAGGUAAAAAGACGAAAAAGAGGUCAAAACCCGCAUCGGCCGUCCGAAUGACACACAAACACACACAUAGCACCGCGUAGGUAAUAGACACGCGUUAGAACUUACGGGACUCGAUUCCGACAUACGAAGACUGAGUUAUCGCCUAGUUUGCAAAACUCGCCAACACUUAAGCAAAAAGUCGAAAAAGGGGUCAAAACUCGCAUCGGUCGUCCGAAUGACACGCAAACACACACAUAGCAUCGCGUAGGUAAUAGACACGCGUUAGAACUUACGGGACUAGAUUCCGACAUACGAAGACCGAGUUAUCGCGGAGUUUGCAAAACUCGCCAAUACUUAGGCAAAAAGCCGAAAAAGAGGUCAAAACCCGCAUCUGUCGUUCGUAUGACACGUAAACACAAAUAUAACACCGUGUAGGUAAUAGACACACCUUAGAACUUACGGGACUCGAUUCCGACAUACGGAGACUUAGUUAUCGCCCAGUUUGCAAAACUCGCCAACACUUAGUCAAAAAGUGAAAAAGGGGUAAAAACUCGCAUCGGUAGUCCGAAUGACACGCAAACACACUAAUAGCACCGCGUAGGUAAUAGACAUGCGUUAGACCUUACGGGACUCGAUUCUGACAUACGGAGACCGAGUUAUAGCGGAGUUUGCAAAACUCGUCAACACUUGGGCAAAAAGCCGAAAAAGAGGUCAAAACCCGCAUCUGCCGUUCGUAUGACACGCAAACACACAUAUAGCACCGUGUAGGUAAUAGACACGCCUUAGAACUUACGGGACUCGAUUCUGACAUACGGAGACUUAGUUAUCGCCCAGUUUGCAAAACUCGCCAAUACUUAGGCAAAAAGUCGAAAAAGGGGUAAAAACUCGCAUCGGUAGUCCGAAUGACACGCAAACACCCUAAUAGCACCGCGUAGGUAAUAGACACGCGUUAGAAGUUACGGGACUCGAUUCUGACAUACGGAGACCGAGUUAUAGCGGAGUUUACAAAACUCGCCAACAGUUGGGCAAAAAGCCAAAAAAGAGGUCAAAACCCGGAUCGGCCGUCCGAAUGACAUGCAAACACACACAUAGAACCGUGUAGGUAAUUGACACGCAUUAGAACUUACGGUACUCAAUUUUGACAUAUGGAGACCGAGUUAUUACCCAGUUUGCAAAACUCGCCAACACUUAGGCAAAAACACGAAAAAGAGGUCAAAACCCGCAUCGGCCGUUCGAAUGACACACAAACAAACACAUAACACAACGUAGGUAAUAGACACGCGUUAGAACUUACGGGACUCGAUUCAGACAUACGGAGACUGAGUUAUCGCCCAGUUUGAAAAACUCACCAACAAUUAGGAAAAAUGUCGAAAAAGGGGUCAAAACUCGCAUCGGUCGUCUGAAUGACACGCAAACACACUAAUAGGAUCGCGUAGGUAAUAGACACGCGUUAGAACUUACGGGACUCGAUUCCGACAUACGGAGACCGAGUUAUCGCGGAGUUUGCAAAACUCGCCAACACUUAGGCAAAAAGCCGAAAAAGAGGUCAAAACUCGCAUCGGCCCUCCGAAUGACAUGCAAACACACACAUAGCACCGCGUAGGUAAUAGACACGCGUUAGAACUGACAGGACUCGAUUCUGAUAAACGGAGACCGAGUUAUCGCCUAAUUUGCAAAACUCGCCAACACUUAGGCAAAAAGCCGAAAAAGAGGUCAAAACUCGCAUCGGCCCUCCGAAUGACAUGCAAACACACACAUAGCACCGCGUAGGUAAUAGACACGCGUUAGAACUGACAGGACUCGAUUCUGAUAAACGGAGACCGAGUUAUCGCCUAAUUUGCAAAACUCGCCAACACUUAGGCAAAAAGCCGAAAAAGAGGUCAAAACUCGCAUCGGCCCUCCGAAUGACAUGCAAACACACACAUAGCACCGCGUAGGUAAUAGACACGCGUUAGAACUGACAGGACUCGAUUCUGAUAAACGGAGACCGAGUUAUCGCCUAAUUUGCAAAACUCGCCAACACUUAGGCAAAAAGCCGAAAAAGAGGUCAAAACUCGCAUCGGCCCUCCGAAUGACAUGCAAACACACACAUAGCACCGCGUAGGUAAUAGACACGCGUUAGAACUGACAGGACUCGAUUCUGAUAAACGGAGACCGAGUUAUCGCCUAAUUUGCAAAACUCGCCAACACUUAGGCAAAAAGCCGAAAAAGAGGUCAAAACUCGCAUCGGCCCUCCGAAUGACAUGCAAACACACACAUAGAACCGCGUAGGUAAUAGACACGCAUUAGAACUUACGGGACACGAUUCCAACAUAUGGAGACCGAGUUAUCGCCUAGUUGGCAAAACUCGCCAACACUUAGGCAAAAAGAUGAAAAAUAGGUCAAAACCCGCAUCGGUCUUCUGAAUGACACGUAAACACACACAUAACACCGCGUAGGUAAUUGUCAUGUAUUAGAACUUACAGGACUCGAUUCCGACAUACGGAGACUGAUUUAUAGGCCAGGUUGCAAAACUUGUUAACUCUUAGGCAAAAAGCCGAAAAAGAGGUCAAAACCCGCAUCUGCCAUUCGUAUGACACGCAAACACACAUAUAGCACCGUGUAGGUAAUAGACACGCCUUAGAACUUACGGGACUCGAUUCUGACAUACAGAGACCGAGUUAUUGCCCAGUUUGCAAAACUCGCCAAUACUUAGGCAAAAAGUCGAAAAAGGGGUAAAAACUCGCAUCGGUAGUCCGAAUGACACGCAAACACCCUAAUAGCACCGCGUAGGUAAUAGACAUCGGAGACCGAGUUAUCGCCCAAUUUGUAAAACCCGCCAACACUUAGGCAAAAACACGAAAAAGAGGUCAAAACCCGGAUCGGCCGUCCGAAUGACAUGCAAACACACACAUAGAACCGCGUAGGUAAUUGACAUGCAUUAGAACUUACGGGACUCGAUUCUGACAUACAGAGACCGAGUUAUUGCCCAGUUUGCAAAACUCGCCAAUACUUAGGCAAAAAGUCGAAAAAGGGGUAAAAACUCGCAUCGGUAGUCCGAAUGACACGCAAACACCCUAAUAGCACCGCGUAGGUAAUAGACAUCGGAGACCGAGUUAUCGCCCAAUUUGUAAAACCCGCCAACACUUAGGCAAAAACACGAAAAAGAGGUCAAAACCCGGAUCGGCCGUCCGAAUGACAUGCAAACACACACAUAGAACCGCGUAGGUAAUUGACAUGCAUUAGAACUUACGGGACUCGAUUCUGACAUACAGAGACCGAGUUAUUGCCCAGUUUGCAAAACUCGCCAAUACUUAGGCAAAAAGUCGAAAAAGGGGUAAAAACUCGCAUCGGUAGUCCGAAUGACACGCAAACACCCUAAUAGCACCGCGUAGGUAAUAGACAUCGGAGACCGAGUUAUCGCCCAAUUUGUAAAACCCGCCAACACUUAGGCAAAAACACGAAAAAGAGGUCAAAACCCGGAUCGGCCGUCCGAAUGACAUGCAAACACACACAUAGAACCGCGUAGGUAAUUGACAUGCAUUAGAACUUACGGGACUCGAUUCUGACAUACAGAGACCGAGUUAUUGCCCAGUUUGCAAAACUCGCCAAUACUUAGGCAAAAAGUCGAAAAAGGGGUAAAAACUCGCAUCGGUAGUCCGAAUGACACGCAAACACACACAUAACACCGCGUAGGUAAUUGACAUGCAUUAGAACUUACGGGACUCGAUUCCGACAUACGGAGACUGAGUUAUUGCCCAGUUUGUAAAACUCGCCAACACUUAGGCAAAAAGUCAAAAAGGGGUAAAUACUCGAAUCGGUAGUCCGAAUGACACGCAAACACACUAAUAGCACCGUGUUAUCGCGGAGUUUGCAAAACUCACCAACACUUGGGCAAAAAGCCGAAAAAGAGGUCAAAACCGCAUCUGUCGUCCGAAUGACACGAAUACACACAUAUAGCACCGUGCAGGUAAUAGACACGCGUUAGAACUUACGGGACUCGAUUUUGACAUAUGGAGACCGAGUUAUUGCCCAGUUUGCAAAACUCGCCAACACUUAGGCAAAAAGCCGAAAAAGAGGUCAAAACUCGCAUCGGCCCUCCGAAUGACAUGCAAACACACACAUAGAACCGCGUAGGUAAUAUACACGCAUUAGAACUUACGGGACUCGAUUCCAACAUAUGGAGACCGAGUUAUCGCCUAGUUUGCAAAACUCGCCAACACUUAGGCAAAAAGACGAAAAAAUAGGUCAAAACCCGCAUCGGUCUUCUGAAUGACACGUAAACACACACAUAACACCGCGUAGGUAAUUGUCAUGUAUUAGAACUUACAGGACUCGAUUCCGACAUACGGAGACUGAUUUAUCGCCCAGUUUGCAAAACUUGCUAACUCUUAGGUAAAAAGACGAAAAACAGGUCAAAACCCGCAUCGGCCGUCCGAAUGACACGCAAACACACACAUAGCACCGCGUAGGUAAUUGACACGCGUAAGAACUUACGGGACUCGAUUCCGACAUACGGACACUAAGGUAUCCCCCAGUUUGCAAAACUCGCCAACAAUUAGGCAAAAAGACGAAAAAUAGGUCAAAACCCGCAUCGGCCGUCCGAAUGACACACAAACACACACAUAGCACCGCGUAAGUAAUAGACACGCGUUAGAAGUUACGGGACUCGAUUCCGACAUACGAAGACUGAGUUAUCGCCCAGUUUGCAAUACUCGCCAACACUUAGGCAAAAAGACGAAAAUAGGUCAAAACCCGCAUCGGUCGUCCGAAUGACACGCAAUCACACACAUAGCAUCGCGUAGGUAAUAGACACGCGUUAGAACUUACGGGACUCGAUUCCGACAUACGGAGACCGAGUUAUCGCGGAGUUUGCAAAACUCGCCAACACUUAGGCAAAAAGCCGAAAAAGAGGUCAAAACCCUCAUCUGCCGUUCUUAUGACACGCAAACACACAUAUAGCAUCGUGUAGGUAAUAGACACGCCUUAGAACUUACGGGACUCGAUUCCGACAUACGGAGACUUAGUUAUCGCCCAGUUUGCAAAACUCGCCAACACUUAGGCAAAAAGUCAAAAAAGGGGUAAAAACUCGCAUCGGUAGUACGAAUGACACGCAAACACACUAAUAGCACCGCGUAGGUAAUAGACACGAGUUAGAACUUACGGGACUCGAUUCCGACAUACGGAGACCAAGUUAUCGCGGGGUUUGCAAAACUCGCCAACACUUAGGCAAAAAGUCGAAAAAGAGGUCAAAACCCGCAUCUGCCGUCCGAAUGACACGCAAACACACAUAUAGCACUGUUUAGGUAAUAGACACGCGUUAGAACUUACGGGACUCGAUUUUGACGUACGGAGACCGAGUUAUUGCCCAGUUUGCAAAACUCGCCAACCCUUAGGCAAAAAGCUGAAAAAGAGUUCAAAACUCGCAUCGGCCGUCCGAAUGACAUACAAAUACACACAUAGAAACGCGUGGGUAAUUGACACGCAUUAGAACUUACGGGACUCGAUUCCGACAUACGGAGACCGAGUUAUCGUCCAAUUUGCAAAACUCGCCAAUACUUAGGCAAAAAGCUGAAAAAGAGGUCAAAAACCCGCAUCGGCCAUUCGAAUGACACGCAUACACACACAUAACACCGCGUAGGUAAUAGACAUGCAUUAGAACUUACGGGACUCGAUUCCGACAUACGGAGACCGAGUUAUCGCGGAGUUUGCAAAACUCGCCAACACUUGGGCAAAAAGCCGAAAAGAGGUCAAAACCCGCAUCGGCCGUUCGAAUGACACGCAAACACACUAAUAGCACCGCGUAGGUAAUAGACACGCGUUAGAACUUACGGGACUCGAUUCCGACAUACGGAGACCGAGUUAUCGCGGAGUUUGCAAAACUCGCCAACACUUGGGCAAAAAGCCGAAAAGAGGUCAAAACCCGCAUCUGCCGUCCGAAUGAUACGAAUACACACAUAUAGCACCGUGCUGGUAAUAGACACGCGUUAGAACUUACGGGACUCGAUUCUGACAUACGGGGUCCGAGUUAUUGCCCAGUUUGCAAAACUCGCCAACACUUAGGCAAAAAGCCAAAAAAGAGGUCAAAACUCGUAUCGGCCGUCCGAAUGACAUGCAAACACAAACAUAGAACCGCGUAGGUAAUAGACACGCAUUAGAACUUACGGGACUCGAUUCCGACAUACGGAGACUGAGUUAUCGCCCAGUUUGCAAAACUCGCCAACACUUAGGCAAAAAGACGAAAAACAGGUCAAAACCCGCAUCGGCCGUUUGAAUGACACGCAAACACACACAUAGCACCGCCUAGGUAAUAGACACGCGUUAGAACUUACGGGACUCGAUUCCGACAUAAGGAGACCGAGUUAUCGCCCAGUUUGCAAAACUCGCCAACACUUAGGCAAAAAGCCAAAAAAGAGGUCAAAACCCGCAUCGGUCGUCUGAAUGACACAAAAAUACACACAUAGCACCGCGUAGGUACUAGACUCGCGUUAGAACUUGCGGGACUCGAUUCAGACAUACGGAGACUGAGUUAUCGCCCAGUUUGAAAAACUCGUCAUCACUUAGGCAAAAAGUCGAAAAAGAAAUCAAAACCCGUAUCGGCCGUCCGAAUGAGACACAAACACACACAUAGCACCACAUAGGUAAUAGACAUGCCUUAGAACUUACGGGACUCGAUUCUGACAUACGGAGACUGAGUUAUCGCCCAGUUUGCAAAACUCGCCAAGACUUACGCAAAAAGCCGAAAAAGAGGUCAAAACCCGCAUCGGCCGUCUGAAUGACACACAAAUACACACAUAGCACCGCGUAGGUACUAGACACGCGUUAGAACUUACGGGACUCAAUUCAGACAUACGGAGACUGAGUUAUCGCCCAGUUUGAAAAACUCGUCAUCACUUAGGCAAAAAGUUGAAAAAGAAAUCAAAACCCGUAUCGGCCGUCCGAAUGAGACGCAAACACACACAUAGCACCACAUAGGUAAUAGACAUGCCUUAGAACUUACGGGACUCGAUUCAGACAUACGGAGACUGAGUUAUCGCCCAGUUUGAAAAACUCGUCAUCACUUAGGCAAAAAGUCGAAAAAGAAAUCAAAACCCGUAUCGGCCGUCCGAAUGACACACAAACACACACAUAAUACCGCGUAGGUAAUAGACACACGUUAGAAUUUACGGGACUCGAUUCCGACAUACGGAGACCGAGUUAUUGUCCAGUUUACAAAACACGCCAACACUUGGGCAAAAAGCCAAAAAAGAGGUCAAAACCCGGAUCGACCAUCCGAAUGACAUGCAAACACACACAUAGAACCGCGUAGGUAAUUGACAUGCAUUAGAACUUACGGUACUCAAUUUUGACAUACGGAGACCGAGUUAUCGCCCAAUUUGUAAAACUCGCCAACACUUGGGAAAAAAGCUGAAAAAGAGAUCAAAAACCCGCAUCGGCCGUUCGAAUGACACACAAACACACACAUAACACCGCGUAGGUAAUAGACAUGCAUUAGAACUCACGGGACUCGAUUCCGACAUACGGAGACUGAGUUAUCGCCCAGUUUGAAAAACUCGCCAACACUUAGGCAAAAAGUCGAAAAAGGGGUCAAAACUAGCAUCGGUCGUCCGAAUGACACGCAAACACACUAAUAGCAUCGCGUAGGUAAUAGACACGCGUUAGAACUUACGGGAUUCGAUUCCGACAUACGGAGACCGAGUUAUCGCGGAGUUUGCAAAACUCGCCAACACUUGGGCAAAAAGUCGAAAAAGAGGUCAAAACCCGCAUCUGCCGUCCGAAUGACACGAAUACACACAUAUAGCACCGUGCAGGUAAUAGACACGCGUUAGAACUUACGGGACUCGAUUCUGACAUACGGAGACCGAGUUAUCGCCCAGUUUGCAAAACUCGCCAAGACUUAGGCAAAAAGUUGAAAAAGAGGUCAAAACUCGCAUCGGCCGUCCGAAUGACACGCAAACACACACAUAGAACCGCGUGGGUAAUAGACACGCAUUAGAACUUACGGUACUCGAUUCCGACAUACGGAGACCGAGUUAUCGCCCAAUUUGUAAAACCGGCCAACACUUAGGCAAAAAGCUGAAAAAGAGGUCAAAGACCCGCAUCGGCCGUUCGAAUGACACGGAAACACACACAUAACACCGCGUAGGUAAUAGACAUGCAUUAGAACUUACGGGACUCGAUUCCGACAUACGGAGACUGAGUUAUUGCCUAGUUUGCAAAACUCGCCAACACUUAGGCAAAAAGUUAAAAAAGGGGUCAAAACUCGCAUCGGUAGUCCGAAUGACACGCAAACACACUAAUAGCACCGCGUAGGUAAUAGAAAUGCGUUAGAACUUACGGGACUCGAUUCCGACAUACGGAGACCGAGUCAUCGCGGAGUUUAAAAAACUCGCCAACACUUGGGCAAAAAGCCGAAAAAGAGGUCAAAACCCGCAUCUGCCGUCCGAAUGACACGAAUACACACAUAUAGCACCGCGUUGGUAAUAGACACGCGUUAGAACUUACGGGAUUCGAUUCUGACAUACGGAGACCGAGUUAUUGCCCAGUUUGCAAAACUCGCCAACACUUAGGUAAAAAGCCGAAAAAGAGGUCAAAACUCACAUCGGCCGUCCGAAUGACAUGCAAACACACACAUAGAACCGCGUGGGUAAUAGACACGCAUUAGAACUUACGGGACUCGAUUCCGACAUACGGAGACCAAGUUAUCGCCCAAUUUGUGAAACUCGCCAACACUUAGGCAAAAAGCUGAAAAGAGGUCAAAAACCCGCAUCGGCCGUUCGAAUGACACGCAAACACACACAUAACACCGCGUAGGUAAUAGACAUGCAUUAGAACUUACGGGACUCGAUUCCGACAUACGGAGACUGAGUUAUCGCCCAGUUUGCAAAACUCGCCAACACUUAGGCGAAAAGUCAAAAAAAGGGUCAAAACUCGCAUCGGUAGUCCGAAUGACACGCAAACACACUAAUAGCACCGCGUAGGUAAUAGACACGCGUUAGAACUUACGGGACUCGAUUCCGACAUACGGAGACCGAGUUAUCGCGGAUUUUGCAAAACUCGCCAACACUCGGGCAAAAAGCCGAAAAAGAGGUCAAAACCCGCAUCUGCCGUCCGAAUGACACGAAUACAGACAUAUAGCACCGUGCAGGUAAUAGACAUGCGUUAGAACUUACGGGACUCGAUUCUGACAUACGAAGACCGAGUUAUUGCCCAGUUUGCAAAACUCCCCAAUACUUAGGCAAAAAGACGAAAAAGAGGUCAAAACUUGCAUCGGCCAUCCGAAUGACAUGCAAACACACACAUAGAACUGCGUGGGUAAUAGACACGCAUUAGAACUUACGGGACUCGAUUCCGACAUACGGAGACCGAGUUAUCGCCUAGUUUGCAAAACUCGCCAACACUUAGGAAAAAAGACAAAAAAUAGGUCAAAACCUGCAUCGGUCGUCUGAAUGACACGCAAACACACACAUAACACCGCGUAGGUAAUAGUCAUGCAUUAGAACUUACGGGACUCGAUUCCGACAUACGGAGACUGAUUUAUCGCCCAGUUUGAAAAACUUGCCAACACUUAGGCAAAAAGACGAAAAAUAGGUCAAAACCCGCAUCGGCCGUCCGAAUGACACGCAAACACACACAUAGCACCGCGUAGGUAAUUGACACGCAUAAGAACUUACGGGAUUCGAUUCCGACAUACGGAGACUGAGUUAUCGCCAAGUUUGCAAAACUCGCAAACACUUAGGCAAAAAGCAAAAAAAGAGGUCAAAACUCGCAUCGGCCAUCCGAAUGACAUGCAAACACACACAUAGAACCGCGUAGGUAAUUGACACGCAUUAGAACUAAUGGGACUCGAUUCCGACAUACGAAGACUGAGUUAUCGCCCAGUUUGCAAAACUCGCCAAGACUUAGGCAAGAAGCCAAAAAAGAGGUCAAAACCCGCAUCGGCCGUCCGAAUGACACGCAAACACAUACAUAGCACCGCGUAGGUAAUUGACACGCAUUAGAACUAAUGGGACUCGAUUCCGACAUACGAAGACUGAGUUAUCGCCCAGUUUGCAAAACUCGCCAAGACUUAGGCAAGAAGCCAAAAAAGAGGUCAAAACCCGCAUCGGCCGUCCGAAUGACACGCAAACACAUACAUAGCACCGCGUAGGUAAUUGACACGCAUUAGAACUAAUGGGACUCGAUUCCGACAUACGAAGACUGAGUUAUCGCCCAGUUUGCAAAACUCGCCAAGACUUAGGCAAGAAGCCAAAAAAGAGGUCAAAACCCGCAUCGGCCGUCCGAAUGACACGCAAACACAUACAUAGCACCGCGUAGGUAAUUGACACGCAUUAGAACUAAUGGGACUCGAUUCCGACAUACGAAGACUGAGUUAUCGCCCAGUUUGCAAAACUCGCCAAGACUUAGGCAAGAAGCCAAAAAAGAGGUCAAAACCCGCAUCGGCCGUCCGAAUGACACACAAACACACACAUAGCACCGCGUAGGUAAUAGACACGCGUUAGAACUUACGGGACUCGAUUUCGACAUACGAAGACUGAGUUAUCGCCCAAUUUGCAAAACUCGCCAACACUUAAGCAAAAAGUUAAAAAAGGGGUCAAAACUCGCAUCGGUCGUCCGAAUGACACACCAACACACUAAUAGAACCGCGUAGGUAAUAGACACGCGUUAGAACUUACGGGACUUGAUUCCGACAUACGGAGACUGAGUUAUCGCCCAGUUUGCAAAACUCGCCAACACUUGGGCAAAAAGACGAAAAAGAGGUCAAAACCCGCAUCGGCUGUCCGAAUGACACACAAACACUCACAUAGCACCGCGUAGGUAAUAGACACGCGAUAGAACUUACGGGACUCGAUUCCGACAUACGAAGACUGAGUUAUCGCCCAGUUUGCAAAACUCGCCAACACUUAGGCAGAAAGCCUAAAAAGAGGUCAAAACCCGCAUCUGCCGUCCGAAUGACACACAAACACACACAUAUAGCACCGUGUAGGUAAUAGACACGCCUUAGAACUUAAAGGACUCGAUUCUGACGUACGGAGACCGAGUUAUUGCCCAGUUUGCAAAACUCGCCAACACUUAGGCAAAAAGUCGAAAAGAGGUCAAAACCCGCAUCGGCCGUCCGAAUGACACGCAAACACACUAAUAGCACCGCGUAGGUAAGAGACACGCGUUAGAACUUAUGGGACUCGAUUUUGACAUAUGGAGACCGAGUUAUCGCCCAAUUUGCAAAACUCGCCAACACUUAGGCAGAAAGCCUAAAAGAGGUCAAAACCCGCAUCGGCCGUCCGAAUGACACGCAAACACACUAAUAGCACCGCGUAGGUAAGAGACACGCGUUAGAACUUAUGGGACUCGAUUUUGACAUAUGGAGACCGAGUUAUCGCCCAAUUUGCAAAACUCGCCAACACUUAGGCAGAAAGCCUAAAAGAGGUCAAAACCCGCAUCGGCCGUCCGAAUGACACGCAAACACACUAAUAGCACCGCGUAGGUAAGAGACACGCGUUAGAACUUAUGGGACUCGAUUUUGACAUAUGGAGACCGAGUUAUCGCCCAAUUUGCAAAACUCGCCAACACUUAGGCAGAAAGCCUAAAAGAGGUCAAAACCCGCAUCGGCCGUCCGAAUGACACGCAAACACACUAAUAGCACCGCGUAGGUAAGAGACACGCGUUAGAACUUAUGGGACUCGAUUUUGACAUAUGGAGACCGAGUUAUCGCCCAAUUUGCAAAACUCGCCAACACUUAGGCAGAAAGCCUAAAAGAGGUCAAAACCCGCAUCGGCCGUCCGAAUGACACGCAAACACACUAAUAGCACCGCGUAGGUAAGAGACACGCGUUAGAACUUAUGGGACUCGAUUUUGACAUAUGGAGACCGAGUUAUCGCCCAAUUUGCAAAACUCGCCAACACUUAGGCAGAAAGCCUAAAAGAGGUCAAAACCCGCAUCGGCCGUCCGAAUGACACGCAAACACACUAAUAGCACCGCGUAGGUAAGAGACACGCGUUAGAACUUAUGGGACUCGAUUUUGACAUAUGGAGACCGAGUUAUCGCCCAAUUUGCAAAACUCGCCAACACUUAGGCAGAAAGCCUAAAAGAGGUCAAAACCCGCAUCGGCCGUCCGAAUGACACGCAAACACACUAAUAGCACCGCGUAGGUAAGAGACACGCGUUAGAACUUAUGGGACUCGAUUUUGACAUAUGGAGACCGAGUUAUCGCCCAAUUUGCAAAACUCGCCAACACUUAGGCAGAAAGCCUAAAAGAGGUCAAAACCCGCAUCGGCCGUCCGAAUGACACGCAAACACACUAAUAGCACCGCGUAGGUAAGAGACACGCGUUAGAACUUAUGGGACUCGAUUUUGACAUAUGGAGACCGAGUUAUCGCCCAAUUUGCAAAACUCGCCAACACUUAGGCAGAAAGCCUAAAAGAGGUCAAAACCCGCAUCGGCCGUCCGAAUGACACGCAAACACACUAAUAGCACCGCGUAGGUAAGAGACACGCGUUAGAACUUAUGGGACUCGAUUUUGACAUAUGGAGACCGAGUUAUCGCCCAAUUUGCAAAACUCGCCAACACUUAGGCAGAAAGCCUAAAAGAGGUCAAAACCCGCAUCGGCCGUCCGAAUGACACGCAAACACACUAAUAGCACCGCGUAGGUAAGAGACACGCGUUAGAACUUAUGGGACUCGAUUUUGACAUAUGGAGACCGAGUUAUCGCCCAAUUUGCAAAACUCGCCAACACUUAGGCAGAAAGCCUAAAAGAGGUCAAAACCCGCAUCGGCCGUCCGAAUGACACGCAAACACACUAAUAGCACCGCGUAGGUAAGAGACACGCGUUAGAACUUAUGGGACUCGAUUUUGACAUAUGGAGACCGAGUUAUCGCCCAAUUUGCAAAACUCGCCAACACUUAGGCAAAAAGUCGAAAAAGGGGUCAAAACUCGCAUCGGACUCGAUUCCGACAUACCGAAACUGAGUUAUCGCCCAGUUUGCAAAACUCGCCAACACUUAGGCAAAAAGACAAAAAAUAGGUCAAAACCCGCAUCGGCUGUCUGAAUGACACACAAACACACACAUAGCACCGCGUAGGUAAUAGACACGCGUUAGAACUUACGGGACUCGAUUCCGACAUACGGAGACUGAGUUAUCGCCCAGUUUGCAAAACUCGCCAACACUUAGGCAAAAAGACGAAAAAGGGGUCAAAACUCGCAUCGGUUGUCCGAAUGACACGCCAACACACUAAUAGCACCGCGUAGGUAAUAUACACGCAUUAGAACUUACGGGACUCGAUUCCGACAUACGGAGACCGAGUUAUCGCCGAGUUUGCAAAACUCGCCAACACUUAGGCAAAAAGCCAAAAAAGAGGUCAAAACCCGCAUCUGCCGUCCCAAUGACACGCAAACACACAUAUAGCACCGUGUAGGUAAUAGACACGCGUUAGAACUUACGGGACUCGAUUCAGACAUACGGGGACUAAGUUAUCGCCCAGUUUGAAAAACUCGCCAACAUUUAGGCAAAAAGUCGAAAAAGGGGUCAAAACUCGCAUCGUUCGUCCGAAUGACACGCAAACACACUAAUAGCACCGCGUAGGUAAUAGACACACGUUAGAACUUACGGGACUCGAUUCCGACAUACAAAGACUGAGUUAUCGCGGAGUUUGCAAAACUCGCCAACACUUGGGCAAAAAGACGAAAAAGAGGUCAAAACCCGCAUCUGCCGUCGAAUGACACGAAUACACACAUAUAGCACCGUGCAGGUAAUAGACACGCAUUAGAACUUACGGGACUCGAUUCUGACAUACGGAGACCGAGUUAUUGCCCAGUUUGCAAAACUCGCCAACACUUAGGCAAAUAGCCGAAAAAGAGGUCAAAACUCACAUCGGGCAUCCGAAUGACAUACAAACACACACAUAGAACUGCGUAGGUAAUAGACACGCAUUAGAACUUACGGGACUCGAUUCCGACAUACGGAGACCGAGUUAUCGCGGAGUUUGCAAAACUCACCAACACUU